GAUGAACGCUGGCGGCGUGCCUAAUACAUGCAAGUCGAGCGAACAGACGAGGAGCUUGCUCCUCUGACGUUAGCGGCGGACGGGUGAGUAACACGUGGAUAACCUACCUAUAAGACUGGGAUAACUUCGGGAAACCGGAGCUAAUACCGGAUAAUAUAUUGAACCGCAUGGUUCAAUAGUGAAAGACGGUUUUGCUGUCACUUAUAGAUGGAUCCGCGCCGCAUUAGCUAGUUGGUAAGGUAACGGCUUACCAAGGCAACGAUGCGUAGCCGACCUGAGAGGGUGAUCAGCCACACUGGAACUGAGACACGGUCCAGACUCCUACGGGAGGCAGCAGUAGGGAAUCUUCCGCAAUGGGCGAAAGCCUGACGGAGCAACGCCGCGUGAGUGAUGAAGGUCUUCGGAUCGUAAAACUCUGUUAGUAGGGAAGAACAAAUGUGUAAGUAACUAUGCACGUCUUGACGGUACCUAAUCAGAAAGCCACGGCUAACUACGUG
This 497-nucleotide ribosomal RNA is filed under the name uncultured bacterium. RNAcentral describes it as "partial 16S ribosomal RNA". It matches the Rfam family "Bacterial small subunit ribosomal RNA", at positions 28 to 507 of the family's 1533-position model. The record is from RNAcentral.